AACGAACGCUGGCGGCGUGGCUAAGACAUGCAAGUCGAACGGUAGGUUAUAGCAAUAUGGCCUAUAGUGGCGGACGGGUGAGUAAUAAAUAGGUAACGUACCCUGGGCACGGGGAUAGCGUCGUCCCGAGCAAUCGGGGGCUUUGCGAAAGUGACGGUAAUACCCGGUAAUGUCUUCGAGUGGCAUCACUCGAAGACCAGAGGUGGGGACCUUCGGGCCUAUCGGCCUGGGAGCGGCCUAUUUCCUACAGCUAGUUGGUGAGGUAACGGCUCACCAAGGCUUCGACGGGUAACCGGACUGAGAGGUCGGCCGGUCACAUCGGGGACUGAGACACGUGCCCGGACAUCUACGGAUGGCUGCAGUAACGAAUA
RNAcentral lists this ribosomal RNA (371 nucleotides) under uncultured bacterium. RNAcentral's name for it is "bacterial SSU rRNA". It matches the Rfam family "Bacterial small subunit ribosomal RNA", at positions 29 to 363 of the family's 1533-position model. The record is from RNAcentral.